This 74-nucleotide transfer RNA is filed under the name Nocardiopsis rhodophaea. RNAcentral's name for it is "tRNA-Val(gac)". It matches the Rfam family "tRNA". Rfam says of the family: Transfer RNA (tRNA) molecules are approximately 80 nucleotides in length. The record is from RNAcentral. RNAcentral also lists the same sequence under 2 other names. Lineage: Bacteria; Bacillati; Actinomycetota; Actinomycetes; Streptosporangiales; Nocardiopsidaceae.
GCGCGGUUAGCUCAGUUGGUUAGAGCGCUACCUUGACACGGUAGAGGUCACAGGUUCGAAUCCUGUAUCGCGCA